GCCCCCGGCCCACCUUCCCGCCGGGCGCCCUCCGCCGGGCCUCCGCGGCGCCGGGGUCCAGAAGGACGCACAGGGUGGCGGGAGGGCCGGCGGGAUCCGGAACCCGGAGAACUCGCCCUGCCGAUUUCUUUUAUUUCUUAUUAGCGACCACGUUCUGUGCUCUUGGAACGACCUCUCGCCUUUGAACGUAGCCGGACUCCGUUAUUAGCGGUGCUCUACCGAGGCCUGGGGUUGCCCCACCGCGCCGAGCGCCAAUUUGGACGUCUACCCAGAUAUUUCCAACGAGCUGUGUUGAAUUGUGGAGUUCCGACUCUUUCCUCUGAAUCACUACGUCCUCUCCUCCCCAAGUUUUCAUUUCGCGCGUAUCUAACGUUCCUGACUUUUCUGAGUAACUGAGAACUAAAAUGGGCCCCAUUUUAGAAAUAUUGCACAAUAAUGCAUCUCUCCAAUACCUACCACCCCACCACCACCAGCCUCAACAAGUUUAUCAUUCUCCUCCAUGGAAGGGUGGAAAUGAAAAACCCUUGCAGAGAAACCUACGAGUCUACUUCCUUUGUUGGACACAGUUACAAUAAACUGAAACUGUCUAAGCUG
Molecule: long non-coding RNA, 594 nt
Organism: Panthera uncia (snow leopard)
Lineage: Eukaryota; Metazoa; Chordata; Mammalia; Carnivora; Felidae
Exons: 2
Source: RefSeq, a predicted model, not a curated record